UGCUGAGUUUUGGGCUUUCUGGAUUUAUUUUAUUUUAUUUUAUUUUUUUCUUGAUUCAGUUUGAGCUUUUUUAGGUUGUUGUUGGUUGGAGAUGUUUCGGUGGCUUCAGUGGGGUGUUUUUUCACAUUAAAAAUAGUGUCAGACAAGACUCCUGAUUGAUUGGUCUGUUUGGUUUCUUUUCUUCUGCCUAGCUUUCAACAUUCACAAACUCAUCUAAUUGUUCAGGACAUACUGAGUAUCUGCACUUACAGAAAUCAAGCUCAGGUGGAACUCCCUUGAAAGCAAGGCACCGGGAAGCCAAGAUGGGUUUUCAGAAACUUCUACACCCCGUAUUGCCCUUCCCUCCCCUGCUGCUACCAGCCCAGGGGAUGAGUCCACCCCAAAAAGGCCAACGUAGCCCUGGAAGUGGAGAGCUACUCAAUGCAGACAGCCCAGCCAGUGGUGCCUUCCUACUGAUAGGACCGAAUCCCAGCACGGAGCCAUCGCCACAGGCAGGAGGAUGACAAACAGGAGGCACAACAGGUACAAGGCAGAAAUCCGUCUUAAAUUCACUUGACUCGUCAGCUGUUUUAUGGGCCUUGUUGUCGCUGCUCGCACACUUGUAUUCUGCUGGUGUCAGUACAGCAACUUCACUGAAGUCCUCCUGUGUAAGAGCACUUCAGGCCCUCCAGAC
Molecule: long non-coding RNA, 673 nt
Filed under: Coturnix japonica (Japanese quail)
Lineage: Eukaryota; Metazoa; Chordata; Aves; Galliformes; Phasianidae
Description: lncRNA (ENSCJPG00005016402.1)
Source: RNAcentral